RNAcentral lists this ribosomal RNA (468 nucleotides) under uncultured bacterium. RNAcentral describes it as "partial 16S ribosomal RNA". It matches the Rfam family "Bacterial small subunit ribosomal RNA", at positions 28 to 507 of the family's 1533-position model. The record is from RNAcentral.
GACGAACGCUGGCGGCGUGCUUAACACAUGCAAGUCGAACGGAAAGGCCCUGCUUUUGUGGGGUGCUCGAGUGGCGAACGGGUGAGUAACACGUGAGUAACCUGCCCUUGACUUUGGGAUAACUUCAGGAAACUGGGGCUAAUACCGGAUAGGAGCUCCUGCUGCAUGGUGGGGGUUGGAAAGUUUCGGCGGUUGGGGAUGGACUCGCGGCUUAUCAGCUUGUUGGUGGGGUAGUGGCUUACCAAGGCUUUGAGGGGUAGCCGGCCUGAGAGGCGGAACGGGCACAAUGGGACUGAGGUACGGCCCAGAAUGCUACGGGAGGCAGCAGUGGGGAGUAUUGCAGAAUGGGCGGAAGCCUGAUGUAGCAACGCCGCGUGCGGGAUGCCGGCCUUCGGGGUAUAAACCACUUUCGCCUGUGACGAAGAGUGAUUGACGGUAAUGGGUAAAGAAGCACCGGCUAACUACGUG